UACAACCUGCUGGACUACCACUAAAGCUCAUGCCAUUAGCUUCACAGAGCAAGACAUGGCAGUGCCUAGGUAAGUGAUUCAGAUAUAUUCAGUGUAUCCUUUCAAUGAAUAUCUAAGACUACAGACACUAUCACAUGUAGUCACAGAUACAGUACAUUCCCUGACUAACGCCUAUCAACCACCAUGAAAUUUCUGCUGACACUUCUUUCUGGAGUUCCUUCUAUUAUUAACUUGUAUCUACUAUUACUAGAAGUACUGGCAACUCAUAGUGUUUACUGAGCCUGGCAAAUGCUGUAUUUCAUUUUCAGUUCUCAAGGCUAAUUAUUAAAUAUUAUUGUGGUUGAUAUCUAUAAAUGAUGGCAGUAACAUUAAUAGUUCAUAUGUAACAUGUAUUUUUAAAUAAAAACAGAAUAUUACUAUAAGAAGAGGAUGACAAUAUAAAGUUGCUUAUUUAUGGAUAGUAGCUAUGAUCUGUAGGAGACUAUCAUCCUUUUUAUGUUUUAAAAUGUUUUUAUUAAUGUAUUAUAGUUAUAUAAAAUAGUGGGGUUCAUUUUGACAAAUUCCUGAAUGCAUAUAACAUUGUUUGCUUGAAUUCAAUUCACAGUAUUUCCCCUUCUUCCUCCACCUGUUCCCCUUUCUCUACUCAACUGAUUUUCCUUCUAUUUAUUUAUUGUUUUCCCUUUGGUGCAUUAUAGUUAUACAUAAAGUGAAAUUCAUUGAUUAAUUUAUACAUGCACAUAGCAUAAUUUGGUCUCUAUCAUUCUUAAGAGGCAUAUUUUCCCUAGUUAAAGGCAAGCAGAGAGGUAUCCAAAUGGUUUUUCUGUGUUCUGGAGACUGAAGCCAGCUUCAGUAACCAGAAUCCCGGAAGACCUGUCUUUUGUCUUCACCUUAAGAUCUACUUUUUUCUUCUAUUAUAGUCUUUGAGUACUUUAUUGACUCUUUGCCUUUGGCUUCACUAAAGCAAUGAAAUCUUGCACCUGGAUUAGCACAAGAAAUAUACCUGCAGUUUAUCCUCCAUAUUUUUUGCCAGGGUAAAAAGCAUUCUUGCCUGUCAGGGGAAUAUAAGCAAUAUGUUCCUGUGUGAAUACUUAUUACUUGCUUGUCAGAAAAAGGUUACAGAAAUUUCCCUUUGGGGAGAAUGCCAUGAAGACUUUUUUUUCCUCCCGCCUAGUAAAUUACUUGCAGAUGUGUCUCUCUGGGUACUGCUCUUGCAAUUCCCUUUGGGAGUUCAUCUGGCAAAAAUGUACAGUGGAGGCACAUUCCCAUAGCGGUAAUAUAUGGCAAGUAUCUCCCCACCGCCAAAUGAAUAUAGAAUACUUCCUUAUUGUGUAAAAGUAUGUACUUGAAGCAAUGUGAAGAAUUGGGAUUUUAUUUGGACCAUCUUGGUCUUUCAUUUCAACAUGGGCUACUUUCACAACACUGGGGUUGGGAAUAGGAUCAACAUUCUUUUUGGAUUCUAAGAUGUUAUAGGAAACUUUUGAGUGGAGUUGUUGCAUUUGGGUGGGGCAGGGGGACAACCAUGAUAUGUCUAAAACAGUAUUCUUACCUUGCCUGUGAGUGCCCGGAGAUUCACAUGUCAGGUAGACAUAGCAUCUAAGUGGAUGUACAGGUACCCAGGGAUGUGGAGUGAUUUUCUAGUUGGUAGCCAGGUUCACCCCUGCCUAUAAUAGAUUAAAAGAGCUGUGCCAUGAACUUCCCUAAUGACAGUCAGCUCAGAGGCUUCCCUCAAUUCAGCAUUCACUAGAGAGUUAUUGCUAGGUCACCAGCAUUGCCUUCUUAUUGUGUUUUGCUGUGUUGGUCAGAGUUGACGUCAUUGUAAGCUGCCCGCCCUCUCAUAUAGAUUUAUUGAUAUUGCCAGAACAACCAGUGGAGUGUUUACCAGUGAACAAAGACCCUCAACUAUAAUUACCCCCUGGUAAGCUAAGCUGACCUGAACCAAGGACCAGAAAUGAUCUCUAAUAUAGAAUCUGCUUUGGCAGAAUUGAAUUGACAGUGAAAAUAUUAGGGCUCUGGACACCUGCAGCAACAAUAAUAGCUGGCAUUUAUUGAGUGCUUACUAUGUCCUAGGUACUUGUAUAAACAGGUAGGUAUUAUCAUGUAUCCUCACCACAAUGCAGUGAGUUGGUAUUUAUUUUACCCAAUUUAUUGAUGAAGACAUUCAUGCAAAGAAAGAUGAAGUCACUUGCCAAGUUUACCCAGCUAGUGAAAUGGCAGCACCAUGAUUUCAAUACCUCUGGAGUCUGGUUCUAUCAUAGAACCAAAAGUUCAUGCAUGUUCUGCCUCCUUGCUGCUGUUGGCAAGAAAAGUAAGAAUGGUUUUCUACACUAGGAUUUUUUACUAAUACUUCAUUUUAACUGUAUGGAAAUAUGCCUGGGUUUAGAAGUUCUUCAACCAGUUUAGAGGCAGUGAUAGGUAGAUUACAGCAUUUACUCUUUGUGUGACCUUUGCAGUUUACUUGACUUCCCAAGCCUCCAUUUCCACAUCAAAAAGUGUGACUAAUUAUGUUUGCCCCACCCACAAGCCUGAGAUAUUGUAAAACGAAGACAGUAAAUAUUUUCAAAGUUGUACUUCAUUUAAAAUCUGUUUUCUAUUGAAUUUUCCUAUCUCAGGGUAGAAGAGUUUGAAAUAUUAGGCAGUAGUGGAGGUAAAAUAGCAUAGCCUUCAACUUAAAAGAAAGAUUAAUACAAGUUCAGGCUAGGGAAAGGAGGAAGGAAGCUGACCUCUGCACAUACCAAGGGGACCUAACAAAGUAGAAAGCAGACUGGCAGGUCAGGGUCAAAGGAACAAAGCGGAAAGGAAGGUUUGAGAGUAAGCCAGCUUUUUUCUCAUAGAUCGUAGUGGUUUGCCUUUACCUGACAGAAUAGUAUCCUUUGAAGGGAGAAGAAAUAGGGGUGGAUAUUAGGGUACAUCAUGCAUGAGGCUGUGAAAGAAUGCAACACUUCCAACACAGAGAACUCCAUCUACUUAGGAGCUCCCAUUCUAAGACAGUAGACACAGGUGAGGUUACUCCAUGAUGCCAGAAUUUUCCUACAUGAGAAAAUAGUCAUGGCAUUUGGCUGCUUUGGGAAAACACUAGAGUCACUCAGGAUCUCAGAGGAGUUGAGGAAUGGAAUUAGAAGAAUGGAUUAUAUUGAAAGUGUUUUGUCUCCAGAAAAUCAUAUUAUAUUGAAACAGUAUUCAUAAAACACCAUUUUAAGAUUAAGAGGCUUGAUAUUCAUUCUUUGACUCAUUGGGGGUAUUUGGUAUUCAAUAUUUUCAUUAUAAUUUCAAAACAAUAACAAAACAACAUUCCAUAAUGUUUGCCAGAAUUUUGUGCUUAUAAUAUGACAGGGGAUAUGCUUUCUAUAUUUUUAACUCUUACAACUGAAACUGUUAGGUUAGAACUAUAAGUAUUUCCAUUUUGUAGAUGAGAAAAUUGACCUUCUCAGGUUAGUAACUUGCUUCUAGUCCCAACCUUCUCAUAGGCUUUGUAGUCCAAAUAGGACCUCUUAUCAGGUGCCAUGGUGUACACCUAUAGUCCUAGUGACUUGGGAGUCUGAGACAGGAGGGUCUCAAUUUCCAGGCCAGCCACAGCAACAUAGUGAGAACUUGUCUCAAAGUAAAAAAUUAAAAAAGGACUGGAAAUGUAGCUAAAUUCUAAAGCCUCCCAGUACCAAAACCAAGAACAACAACAAAAAACAAACAAACUAACAAAGAGGCCCUCUCAUCAACCUCUAUUCCUCCAUCUUGUUUUCUUUCCCUUCACAACCAUUACUACUAAAUAUUUGAAAUUAACUAAUUUAUGUAUUUGUUCCUUUCUCGGUUAUCUUUUUACCAUGUCAGCAUGGAAAUUCUGUGAGAGCAGAGAUUUUAUUAAAUUCAUCUACGUAUGUUUUACACUCGGAGCAAUUGCAAACAUAUAGUAGGUGCCUGAAGAUGGAACUCAGUUCCACAUUUAAGUAGCUCCAAAACAUCUGAUCUUGUGACUACACCACAUGGCUGCUUUUUCUCCAUAUCUAUAUCUAUUUUUGUGUAUUUACAUAAUAUAUAGACAUACAUAUAUGUAUUUAAAAGGAUUAAAAAAAUAGAUACAGAUCUCUUUGUACACGUGCCAUCUCUUUUCUCAGUAAUGUCAGGAAAAUUAUCAGCUGGAGGCUCUUUUUCUUGACUUUAAUUGAACCUCAAAAACCAAGCCAAUGGGGCUGGGGAUGUGGCUGGGGCGGUGGUACGCUCGCCUGGCAUGCGUGUGGCCCGGGUUCGAUCCUCAGCACCACAUACAAACGAAGAUGUUGUGUCCGCCGAAAACUAAAAAAUAAAAAAAAUAAAAACCAAGCCAAAACAACAGUUUCCCCUAAGAAAAAUUACUCUAAGAAAAAAAAUAGGGGUAUAAUAAAUAAUAAGGUAAAGGAUUAAUUUUGAUCUAGGGCACUGGAAUUUGAACUUUUUGGGGAUUUUAUCUGUUAUUAUUAUUGUUCUUUGUGUGUGGGUGAGGGAGGGAUUUGUUUUUCAUUCUUAUCAGUAGGUGGCAGCAAUUUUCUUAGAGAUGAGCUUACCAGUUAAGAGAAUCUAAUCUAGCAAGUCUGGCCCAGAUGUUGAUAAUUUUUUUUUUAAGGCCUAAGUCCCUUAACUCACUUUUCCUGGACAAGGGUUAAUUUAGAAUUGAAAUAUAAACUGAGAAAUAUCAUCUGUUGAACAUAAUGGCUAUGUAGGAGAAUUUCUAACAAUUACAUCCAUCGACUUUGGUAACCAUUUUGAAGAGUCCAGUAUGACUUACAUGAUUGUAUCUUAAUCAUAUGCAGCAGAACUGUGGUAUAUUGAGCAUUCACAGUCUGCUUAUGUAACUUCCAUAUUCUACUUCCACCUUGUAAGAAUUGCUUAGCCACAUGAGUAUAAGCUGAAACAUUCUUCCUUGGUGGGUUUUUGUCCCCCUCUUUCUGUGGAGGGUGUUCAGAGUAUGCAGAGACAGAUAUGUAUAGGUCAAAGCAGACUGGGACUAGGUGUUGAGUCCCAUUCUGGGUUAUUCUGCAAUAUGGCCUUUGUGUGACUGGGUCCACUAGAGAUGGUUAAUGGUUAUUCAUAUUCACUGUUUGUCAGCCUUUUGAGAAGGUAGAACAUGUUUUGAUUACAUUUUCCUAUCUCUAGUACCCAGUAGGAGACUUGGGCUAUAAUAGGUACUCAAUAAAUAUAUGUUCCUUAGAUUUUUUAAAACACCUUUAUUUAAUUUAUUUUUUUAAUGUGGUGCUAACAAUUGAAUCCAGUGCUUCAGACAUUCUAGGUAACUGCUCUAACACUGAGUUACAACCCCAGCCCCUCGUUAGAUGUUUCAUGGUAUUGUUCUGAAGCUCAGUCAGUAAUGGGAGCCAUAUAGGAAUUUAUAAGUUCUAAUUAAGGGUUAUUUGCAGGACAUAGCUAAAGGAAUUGUCUCAGUGUACAAUCCUAUGUAUAAGUCUAUGCAAAGGUAAAAUUUUACUUGGUCAAUUUUGUUCUCAUUUGUUGAUUCCUGGGAACCUUAAAAGAUUCAUUGAUAUAUUCACAUUUCCAUUGUCACCAUCCUCUGAGUUCAACUUUAUGAUAGACUAUCAUGAUGUAAGUUAGAGAUACAGAUUCUCUCUGGAGAGCUGGGCUACAAGAUGUACAUACAAUCAUGAGCAAAGUACAAAUUAUCACAUAUUCCAGGUACUCGAGGAAAAAGAUUAACAAGAAAAAAUUAGGUAACCGUAAAAACCUUAGUGAAGAUGUUGUGCUAAAGGCCAUAAGUCGGUCUAGUUAUUUGAAAUCUUCUGGAUAAUUGAAACAUUUCAUUUUUAUUGGAGUGAUUUGUUUUUAAGAAACAUAGCAAUGUCAUGCCAGGUUCUAGAUGUUCACCUUUCUUAAACACAUUCAAUGCAUAAAUUAGCCCCAAAGGGACUAAAACCCCAAUGGUUUAUUUUUAAAAGGAAUUCUUUGCUGAAUCAGUUAUUUUUCAUGUGCUAAAAAUAGGUGAAAGGACUUAUGAAUAGAUUUGAAAUAGUGUGAUUUUUAGUUUUCAUAGUUAAUUUUAGCCUAAGCUGGUGAAAAUAAAGUAAAAGCUCCAAGAUCAAAACUGUGAGUUUGAUGAAAAGCAAUUGUUUGAUUAUUUAUACAAACUACUUAGAAAAGACUGAUGGUUCUGAAUGCAAUUGGAGCUCUAUUUUCAAGAUCAACAGUUAUUCCCAUUUAUUUAUCUUUAAAAAUUCCUAUAUAGUAUAGAAAUUUGCAAAUAGAAGAUACAAAGUAGGAUUAAUGUCAUUCAGUGAUUAAAAAUAUGAAUUCAGAUAAAGGGUACCAAAAUGAUAACAAAACCAGAUAAGCAUCAAUUUUCAGUGAAUAAAUCAUCUUCUUUGAAAGAAAAAAACCUAGUAAUUUUCAAAUAACAUUUUGUGGUGAUUAAUGUUGACCUUAUGUGCCCUCCGACUUUCCCACCAUUCUUACUCCAGGGUCUUAUACAAGAUACGUUGAUUUCUAUGUCAGUGAUUUCUUCUGAAUAGCUAAUUCACUCCUCAAUCCUACAAGAUUAACUACAUCUCCAACUGCUAUGGCCAAUUUCCAAAGUUUAUGGUCCAUUUCAUAAAGUCUUGUAAAUCAGCCCUUACUUCCUUUUAAUUAUGUGUCCCUGUAGAAUGCAUGUGCCAGCAUCGUUUCAAAUCUAUAUGUGAGGCCAAGAACCAGACAACCUUAUCAUAGUAUAAUUGUUUUAAAUCCUGUUAAGUUAUUUUCAGUAUUAAAAUGGCUGAGGUUAAGAAUAGUAAGUCUGGGGCUGGGGAUGUGGCUCAAGCGGUAGCGUGCUUGCCUGGCAUGCACGGGGUGUUGGGUUCGAUCCUCAGCAUCACAUAAAAAUAAAAUAAAGAUGUUGUAUCCACUGAAAACUAAAAAAUAAACAUUAAAAAAUUCUCUCUCUCUCUCUAAAAAAAAGAAUAAUAAGUCUGACAAGUGCAGUCCUUUUCAUUCAAGUUCUGACACGAGAUGCAUUUAUUUUAAAAAGACUUCUCUGACCAACCACCUCUCCAAACACGCCCACACCUUCCUCAUGCUCACAGUUCCCCAUGUUGCUGAAUAUAAUCCUAUUUCUAUUUCUUGGCAUUUAUGUAGUGUUCUAAUAUCAUUUAUAUGUUUUAUACACUUGUAUUCUGCAUUACAGUUCAGUGCUCAAUAGCUCAAGCUCUAGAGGCUAACUGUCAGGGUCUGGUACUAGUUCUGCAGUAUAUUAGUGAUGUGAUUUGGGACAAUUUACUUAACCUUUUCAUGUCUCAGUUUCCUUAUCUGCAAAGUAGAGAUAGUAAUAGCACUUUCCUAAUAGGAUUAUAAGGAUUAAAAAAAGUUGAAAUAUGUGAAGCAUUUAACCUAUGCUUGGCCCAUAAUGUUAUAUAAAUGCCAGCUACUUUUUAAAAAUUUUGUUUUGGAAUAUUAUGAUCUCUGAAUUAUUUUCAUUUUUUAUUAUGGUACUGGGGAUUGAAUCUAGGAGCACUUUAACACUGACUUUUUAUUUAUCCAGUACCAAGUAAAUUUUCCUUACAAAGAAAAAGAUGUCAUUUUCCACUUUAUCAUUUUGUCCUAAUGGAUAUAAAAUAUUUAGAUGUAAUUAUUUUAACAACUUUUGAAUAUCCUGUGGUUUUUUAAAUUUGUUAUUUUUAGUUAUAGUAGAGUGUAUUUGAUAAAUUUAUUCAGACAUGGAUUAUAUUUUAUUCUAAUUAUGUCCCAGUCUUGUAUAUGUACAUUAUGUGGAGAUUCACUGUGGCAUAUUCAUAUGUAUGCAUAGGAAAGUUCUGUCAGAUUUAUUCCACUGUCUUUCCUAUUCCUAUUCCCCUUCUCUUCCCUUCCUUCCUCUUUGUCUAAUCCUCUGAAUUUCUGUCCUCCACCCACCUUGUUGUAUGUUGGCAUUAGCACAUCAGAGAGAACAUUCGACCUUUGGUUGUUUGGGAUUGGCUUAUUUCACUUAGCAUGAUAGUCUCCAGAUCCAUCCAUUUACCAGCAAAUGUUAUAAAGUCAUUCUUUAAGGCUGAGUAAUAUUGUAACACUGAUUUUUAAAUGUUUUGUUUUGAGACAGAGUCUUGCUAAUAAGUUGCUUAGAGCCAGCCUUUCUUGUCACUGGGAUUAUAGGCAUGUACCACUGUGCCCGGCUGAUCUCUUGAGUUAUUUUUCAGGAUGGUUGAAAACAAGAAGCAUGUUUUUAUUAUUCAUAUACCCCCUCUAAAUCCAUAGUGUCAUCCAUGUGGAAGGCAAUGUAGUGUCUCCUAAAAUAAUGAACACAUACAUAGUUAUGAUUCCCAAUGUUUGUAUAUUUUAUGACUUUAAUAUACUUAAUAGGUUCAGAAAAAUAAUCAUUAUCAUGAAUGAAUUCAAGCAAAUGUCUAUAUCAAUGGAGGCAAUGGAUGACUAGGAAUUACCCACAUCCACCUUGGUAUGAUAUGGACAUGAAGAGGGUUUUAAGAAGUCUUCCUGGAAAAGAUUAGUUUUAGAAUUUAUAGAGGCUUAAGUAUUGAGAAGGAAUGAUGGCAUCUGGAGAGAAAAAGUAUUUUGACAGAGGUAGAUAUGAUAUGCUAGCUAUAUUCUGAUACAAAGAAAAGAUAAGCCUUAAUUUAUGUUGCCCCAGUGCACAAAGCUAAAACCAGUAGAUGAAAAUCAUGGGAUGUAAUACUUGAACUAAACAUGAAGAAAUAAUUUCUAUCGGGCUGGGGCUAUGGCUCAGUGGUAGCAUACUUGCCUGGCAUGUGUGAGGCACUGGGUUUGAUUCUCAGCACCACGUAUAAAUAAAUAAAGGCAUAUAUAUAUAUAUAUAUGAAUGAAACUUUCUAAUGACCUGGGCUGCCAACAAUUUAAUUGGAGUGGCCAUGUAAUAUGGUUUGGCUGGGUUCAUAGGAAGCUGCCUUCCUUUUGUACUGAAUAGAUGCAAAAAUGUGAUAUCUGUGGUGGGGAGCUUUCAGUUGCUUUCAUAGCCAAUAUAUUUGCAAAAUUAGCAACACAGUCACACUAGAAGAGGUAAGGAGAGUGUUCAUAUAAUCAUACUUUUCCAUGUAACAUGCUAUGAGAGCUCAAAGGGAGAGAAUGAUAUUUUCCCUGGGCCUACAUCAUUCAGAAAUUGGUGGAUGUUAAAACACCUAGGUUGGUGGUCACGUAAUUUAGAUUUCAGAAAUUAAUUAAAAUUUCCUCAUCCUCCUUGUAUAGAGAGACUGAUAUUGGAUUGCCAACAUUUUGGCUUGCCAAUAAACACAUUAAAAUAACAAAAAGAACUCACCUAUCAUUGGCUCAUGUUAUUUUAUGAAUGAAUCAAUAUUAAAAAAGGAAAUGGAAUAUAAUCUCACAGUAAAAAUAUUGAAUUAUUUUAGGGCUAUGAAAAACACAUUGUCCAUGUUCUUCUCAUUUCACCUUGAUCAAUUAAAAUCCUUAGUAUGAAUUGGCACAGAUUCACAAAUAAGCACAUGGGAACAACUAUUUUGGCUUUAGUGAUAUUCUCUGAUGGUUCCAUGUGAGAAUCCUAUCCUCCAUCCCUUCCAGGCUCCUCCUAAGCCUCUUAUUACAGGAUUGGUAUUUUAAGCAUUAAUUCCCUAAAGUAACAUGUUAUCCCAUAGAUCCCAUAGAACUCAAAGUGUAAAAAAAAAUCUCCACUGGUAGAAAGGUCUCAACCUGAUUUAGUCUUCACUGAGGUUUGAAAUCAUGUGUAGGAAUCCUAUGAAUGCUUACCACUUAGCCUGUUCAGGAGCGUCUUUCAAAUACUCUAAAGGCCCAUCGAAUAGUAUGGUGGAAUGUUCCUAUUUCAAAUGCUGAAAGAGUAGGAAUUAUAGAAGCUAUUGCUAAAAUAAUUUAAUCCACCAAGAAUAGGGACUUAAGGUCUUUGAUGUCACCUAAAAGCUCUUUGAACCUGUUUGGCAUAAUAGAUGAUGUAAAAUCCCAUUUUUCUCUAAUGGAUAAUGUAUUGAAGAAGCUCCUGGGUGAAAAUAUUCUAAAUAUCUACCCUGACAAGAGAAGGAUUCCUAUCAUUUUUCAACCUUUAAUUCCAUUUCAGAAAUGCUGACAUAAAAUUGCUUGCUACUGAGCUGGAAUAUGUCUACAUGUGAAAUCACUUUUUUGAAGCAUAUUAUCUGCUAAUGGAAUCAUAGAGCAUUUUCUGGAGAGGAAAAGAAAAGACUAAUCUUUGUGCUGCACAGCAUAGACAUUAGAUAACCAUUUGGAUUAAUGGUUUCUAUAUCGUAUUAUUUAACUUUUAAAUGCUCAGUUCUUAUUAAGAAGUCACAUUAUUCAGUAGCUCCUAUGAUGUGUUGACAUCUCAGUUUUGAGUAGAUGUAAUAUGGGGAUUUAUAGCCUCGCAAAAAUCCCUUCUCUAGUAGGAUUCCAAAUAGAGAUUUCCCCAAAAUUUUAUCCACAUGUUCUGAAUUGCUAAAAUCUAGCAAAUAUAUUCGGAAUAUUACAAAGCUGAUCAAUUCCUGCUGAGAUCUUUGUUUAUUGUACUGACAAUAUAUUUCUAGCAAACCAAUUCAACUUUGUAAGGAACAAAUUCCAUUUAUGACCUAUAAUUUGAGAAUACUCAUGAAGUGUCUCCAUCCAAUCACUUCUCUUCUUCUCAACCCUGCUACCACCACCACCACCACCUUAUUCUGGGCUGUCAAUUGCACUAUUGCAAGUGUCACUUAACUAGUCACUCACAUUCCAUUAUUGUCUCCACACAACAAUACUAUUCAUAGAGAUGUUAAAACUUAAACAGAUUCAGUCACUUCCUUGAAUAAUUUUUUUCUUAAAUGGCUUCCCAUGCACAUAAAAUAAAAUAUAAGCUCCUAACUAUUGCCUGCAAGAUCUUUCAUGAUCUGGCCCCUGCCUAUAUAAACACUAAGUGACUACCACAUGUGAGGUGAAUAAAACAUGCAAAUUCUUAGCCUGAUAGAAUUAUUGGUGUAGUUGAAAGAGAGGCAGUCAAUAAGCAAGCCAGAAUAUAUAGUAGGUCACAGAGUGAGUAGUAUGGAGAAAAAUAAGGCAAGAAAGAGGAAUGGGGAAACGGUUAGAGGGUCUUGGCAGGGAAGAGAUGGAACACACAGAUUGGAUAAUUUGUGGAAUAUUACUUAAAGAGUUUGUUUAUAGGAUGUGGGCAGACUAUAUGUAAACUAUAAAGUAUAGUUGUAUAGUGGGAUUUAGUUACCUCUUUUAGGAUUUGAAGGGUGAAGAGGAGGGAGAAGUCACAAGAAAUAGGAAAGAUUAAAGAAUGUAUAGAAAACCCUUCUGAUACACACUGGUCUUAGACUAAGGGACUUAGCCAGCCUUAGAUGGCUAAGGAAGGGAGCUGGGUGAAUAAACACAGUGACUCUCCUCUCAUAUCUCCUCUUGUUCUUUCCAGCUGUCCAAAACAACCUGAAGCCUUGAUAAGGGAACCCAGAGAUAUAGACCAACUGGUUAUUUCUGGAAGAGAGAGCAAAAAACAAGAUAAGAAGCCUGGAGCAACUGGAGGGCAAAACAAACAUGUACAAAACAAUGUUGUGAUUUUGAAUGGGGUGGUCCUCAUCAAUAUCAUCUCAUAUCAAUAUUCCUCUUUCUCUUUUGUUUAUCUGCACUGGCUUUCUUUCACAAUCUGGAGUUUGUAGUGUUUCCCUCUCCCUGUCUGGGCUCAGUGUCUUUGCAUGUGCUGAUACCCUUUAUCAAGAAGCUUCUGCCUUCUUUCCCCUGAACCAUUGCUUAACCUACUAGUAUUCCACCAAUGAACAUUUUCCCUAAGUUCUCAGAUUACUCAGACAGCACUGCUCUGUGGUCCCUAUUCUGUACUUCUCUUAUAUCAUACUUUCUAUAGUGUGUCCUUCUAUAUUACUUUGAUUAUUCUAAUAUUUAUAUUACAUAUUCCAUUUAAAGGGACACAAGGAUGGAGAAUAUGUCUAUGUUCUCUUUCACUACAUUCACAGUAUCUAGAACACAGUAUACACAGAAUAAAUAUUUCAUAAUUGAAUGAAGAUGGUAAAUACGAAAAAGUCAUAAUAAUAGAUCCCUUAUCCUAAACUUAUCACUUCAUAUCUUUUGUCUUUCCCCUAACUGUGGGUCUUUGUUACCAGCAUUCUAAAUACAGUAUGAAAACUCUUCAGACUUAUCCAGUACGUACUAUUUUUUAAUCUCUUUUUUUUUCUGGACUCAAAUUGAGGGUUAUUCAAUGUCUCAGUUUAACAACUAGAACCAAUAGCUUAAGAUUUGUAAACCAUAGUGAAUCCUAU
This 12176-nucleotide long non-coding RNA is filed under the name Marmota monax (woodchuck). The record is from RNAcentral. Lineage: Eukaryota; Metazoa; Chordata; Mammalia; Rodentia; Sciuridae.